GAUGAACGCUGGCGGCGUGCCUAAUACAUGCAAGUCGAGCGAACGGACGAGAAGCUUGCUCCUCUGAUGUUAGCGGCGGACGGGUGAGUAACACGUGGAUAACCUACCUAUAAGACUGGGAUAACUUCGGGAAACCGGAGCUACUACCGGCUAAUAUUUUGAACCGCAUGGUUCAAAAGUGAAAGACGGUCUUGCUGUCACUUAUAGAUGGAUCCGCGCUGCAUUAGCUAGUUGGUAAGGUAACGGCUUACCAAGGCAACGAUGCAUAGCCGACCUGAGAGGGUGAUCGGCCACACUGGAACUGAGACACGGUCCAGACUCCUACGGGAGGCAGCAGUAGGGAAUCUUCCGCAAAGGGCGAAAGCCUGACGGAGCAACGCCGCGUGAGUGAUGAAGGUCUUCGGAUCGUAAAACUCUGUUAUUAGGGAAGAACAUAUGUGUAAGUAACUGUGCACAUCUUGACGGUACCUAAUCAGAAAGCCACGGCUAACUACGUG
Molecule: ribosomal RNA, 497 nt
Filed under: uncultured bacterium
Lineage: Bacteria
Description: partial 16S ribosomal RNA
Rfam family: Bacterial small subunit ribosomal RNA
Source: RNAcentral